UACGUAGGUGGCAAGCGUUACUCGGAAUCACUAGGCGUAAAGCGCAGGUAGGCGGUUUGGUAAGUCUGUUGUGAAAGCUCCCGGCUCAACUGGGAGAGGUCAACGGAAACUACCAGGCUGGAGUGUGGUAGAGGUAGCUGGAAUUCCCGGUGUAGCGGUGAAAUGCGUAGAUAUCGGGAGGAAUACCUAUGGCGCAAGCAGGCUACUGGACCAUCACUGACGCUGAUCUGCGAAAGCUAGGCGAGUAAACAGG
RNAcentral lists this ribosomal RNA (253 nucleotides) under uncultured bacterium. RNAcentral's name for it is "partial 16S ribosomal RNA". It matches the Rfam family "Bacterial small subunit ribosomal RNA", at positions 524 to 776 of the family's 1533-position model. The record is from RNAcentral.